Molecule: long non-coding RNA, 215 nt
Filed under: Capsicum annuum
Lineage: Eukaryota; Viridiplantae; Streptophyta; Magnoliopsida; Solanales; Solanaceae
Description: long non-coding RNA (CANN_LNC003420)
Source: RNAcentral
UUCAAACGCCCAAGCGUAUAAAAUAACGCCAAUAAAUCAAAACCAUUAUUGAGCGAAAAAAAUGAAUGAUAUCAUAAUGGAAGAAAGAAACAUUUACCAUGAAAGCCCAUGGGAAGCCAUAUAAGUUGACUGUCUUUGGCGCUAACGGAGUCAACAAAUAUUCGACAGUCAUUUUGAAGCUUUCAUACCCCCAUGGAUAGCUAUUAAACGCCUCA